GAUGAAGAACGCAGCGAAAUGCGAUAAGAAAUGUGAAUUGCAGAAUUCAGUGAAUCAUCGAAUCUUUGAACGCACAUUGCGCCCGCCAGUAUUCUGGCGGGCAUGCCUGUUCGAGCGUCAUUACAACCCUCAGGCCCCCGGGCCUGGCGUUGGGGAUCGGCGGAAGCCCCCUGCGGGCACAACGCCGUCCCCCAAAUACAGUGGCGGUCCCGCCGCAGCUUCCAUUGCGUAGUAGCUAACACCUCGCAACUGGAGAGCGGCGCGGCCACGCCGUAAAACACCCAACUUCUGAAUGUUGACCUCGAAUCAGGUAGGAAUACCCGCUGAACUUAAGCAUAUCAAUAAGCGGAGGA
This 353-nucleotide unclassified non-coding RNA is filed under the name soil metagenome. RNAcentral's name for it is "partial contains 5.8S ribosomal RNA, internal transcribed spacer 2, and large subunit ribosomal RNA". The stretch from base 1 to 120 matches the Rfam family "5.8S ribosomal RNA", at positions 35 to 154 of the family's 154-position model. The record is from RNAcentral.